AGCCCUGUAGCUCAGUGGUUAGAGCACUCGCAAACGAGAGACCUGGGUUCGAUUCCCGGCAGGGCGA
This 67-nucleotide transfer RNA is filed under the name Callorhinchus milii (elephant shark). RNAcentral describes it as "tRNA-Und (NNN) (tRNA-Und-NNN-2-1)". It matches the Rfam family "tRNA". Rfam says of the family: Transfer RNA (tRNA) molecules are approximately 80 nucleotides in length. Their secondary structure includes four short double-helical elements and three loops (D, anti-codon, and T loops). Lineage: Eukaryota; Metazoa; Chordata; Chondrichthyes; Chimaeriformes; Callorhinchidae. The record is from Rfam by way of RNAcentral.